AAUUGCUUUUGAAGCCCUCGGGUGGAUGUUGCAAUUCUUAGUGGCGGACGGGUGAGUAACGCGUGGAUAACCUGGCCCAUACAGGGGGAUAGCAGUUGGAAACGACUGAUAAUACCGCAUAAGCGCACGGUACCGCAUGGUACAGUGUGAAAAACUCCGGUGGUAUGGGAUGGAUCCGCGUCUGAUUAGGCAGUUGGCGGGGUAACGGCCCACCAAACCGACGAUCAGUAGCCGGCCUGAGAGGGUGAACGGCCACAUUGGGACUGAGACACGGCCCAAACUCC
This 284-nucleotide ribosomal RNA is filed under the name uncultured Lachnospiraceae bacterium. RNAcentral describes it as "partial 16S ribosomal RNA". It matches the Rfam family "Bacterial small subunit ribosomal RNA", at positions 59 to 339 of the family's 1533-position model. Lineage: Bacteria; Bacillati; Bacillota; Clostridia; Lachnospirales; Lachnospiraceae. The record is from RNAcentral.